GCCUGGUGCAAGAGACUGCUGG
RNAcentral lists this non-coding RNA (22 nucleotides) under Mus musculus (house mouse). The record is from RNAcentral. Lineage: Eukaryota; Metazoa; Chordata; Mammalia; Rodentia; Muridae.